GGCGCGCUUAAUGCAUGCAAGUCGAGCGAUGAGGCCCUCUUCGGGGGGUACAUCAGCGGCAGACGGGUGAGUAACACGUAGGUGAUCUACCCCAGAGACGGGGAUAACGGGUGGAAACAUCCGCUAAUACCGGAUAGACUUGUUCGGUCAAAGGGACAAGGAAAGGCUCCGGCGCUCUGGGAGGAGCCUGCGGCCCAUCAGCUAGUUGGCGGGGUAACGGCCCACCAAGGCAAAGACGGGUAGGGGGUGUGAGAGCAUGGCCCCCCACAAUGGGACUGGAACACGGCCCAUACUCCUACGGGAGGCAGCAGCAGGGAAUAUUGCACAAUGGACGGAAGUCUGAUGCAGCGACGCCGCGUGGAUGAAGAAGGCCCUCGGGUUGUAAAAUCCUUUACAGGGGGAAGAGGAAGGACGGUACCCCUGGAACAAGUGUCGGCUAACUACGUGCCAGCAGCCGCGGUAAGACGUAGGACACAAGCGUUAUCCGGAUUUACUGGGCGUAAAGCGUCUGCAGGCGGACAGGUAAGUUGGGCGUGAAAGCUCCGGGCCCAACCCGGAGAGGUCGUUCAAUACUGCGUGUCUAGAGGGUGUCAGAGGGGAGUGGAAUUUCCGGAGUAGCGGUAAAAUGCGCAGAGAUCGGAAAGAACACCAAUGGCGAAGGCAGCUCCCUGGGGCAACCCUGACGCUAAGAGACGAAAGCUAGGGGAGCGAACAGGAUUAGAGACCCUGGUAGUCCUAGCCCUAAACGAUGGAUGCUGGCUGUGGGGCCAUAGCGCUCCGUGUCGAAGCGAACGCGUUAAGCAUCCCGCCUGGGGACUACGCCCGCAAGGUUAAAACUCAAACGAAUGGACGGGACCCCGCACAAGCACCGGAGCGUGUGGUUUAAUUCGAUGCUACACGAAGAACC
RNAcentral lists this ribosomal RNA (907 nucleotides) under uncultured organism. RNAcentral's name for it is "bacterial SSU rRNA". It matches the Rfam family "Bacterial small subunit ribosomal RNA", at positions 41 to 970 of the family's 1533-position model. The record is from RNAcentral.